This 1883-nucleotide ribosomal RNA is filed under the name Escherichia coli. RNAcentral describes it as "bacterial LSU rRNA". It matches the Rfam family "Bacterial large subunit ribosomal RNA", at positions 589 to 2457 of the family's 2925-position model. The record is from RNAcentral. Lineage: Bacteria; Pseudomonadati; Pseudomonadota; Gammaproteobacteria; Enterobacterales; Enterobacteriaceae.
GCGUGUGACUGCGUACCUUUUGUAUAAUGGGUCAGCGACUUAUAUUCUGUAGCAAGGUUAACCGAAUAGGGGAGCCGAAGGGAAACCGAGUCUUAACUGGGCGUUAAGUUGCAGGGUAUAGACCCGAAACCCGGUGAUCUAGCCAUGGGCAGGUUGAAGGUUGGGUAACACUAACUGGAGGACCGAACCGACUAAUGUUGAAAAAUUAGCGGAUGACUUGUGGCUGGGGGUGAAAGGCCAAUCAAACCGGGAGAUAGCUGGUUCUCCCCGAAAGCUAUUUAGGUAGCGCCUCGUGAAUUCAUCUCCGGGGGUAGAGCACUGUUUCGGCAAGGGGGUCAUCCCGACUUACCAACCCGAUGCAAACUGCGAAUACCGGAGAAUGUUAUCACGGGAGACACACGGCGGGUGCUAACGUCCGUCGUGAAGAGGGAAACAACCCAGACCGCCAGCUAAGGUCCCAAAGUCAUGGUUAAGUGGGAAACGAUGUGGGAAGGCCCAGACAGCCAGGAUGUUGGCUUAGAAGCAGCCAUCAUUUAAAGAAAGCGUAAUAGCUCACUGGUCGAGUCGGCCUGCGCGGAAGAUGUAACGGGGCUAAACCAUGCACCGAAGCUGCGGCAGCGACGCUGAUGCGUUGUUGGGUAGGGGAGCGUUCUGUAAGCCUGCGAAGGUGUGCUGUGAGGCAUGCUGGAGGUAUCAGAAGUGCGAAUGCUGACAUAAGUAACGAUAAAGCGGGUGAAAAGCCCGCUCGCCGGAAGACCAAGGGUUCCUGUCCAACGUUAAUCGGGGCAGGGUGAGUCGACCCCUAAGGCGAGGCCGAAAGGCGUAGUCGAUGGGAAACAGGUUAAUAUUCCUGUACUUGGUGUUACUGCGAAGGGGGGACGGAGAAGGCUAUGUUGGCCGGGCGACGGUUGUCCCGGUUUAAGCGUGUAGGCUGGUUUUCCAGGCAAAUCCGGAAAAUCAAGGCUGAGGCGUGAUGACGAGGCACUACGGUGCUGAAGCAACAAAUGCCCUGCUUCCAGGAAAAGCCUCUAAGCAUCAGGUAACAUCAAAUCGUACCCCAAACCGACACAGGUGGUCAGGUAGAGAAUACCAAGGCGCUUGAGAGAACUCGGGUGAAGGAACUAGGCAAAAUGGUGCCGUAACUUCGGGAGAAGGCACGCUGAUAUGUAGGUGAAGUCCCUCGCGGAUGGAGCUGAAAUCAGUCGAAGAUACCAGCUGGCUGCAACUGUUUAUUAAAAACACAGCACUGUGCAAACACGAAAGUGGACGUAUACGGUGUGACGCCUGCCCGGUGCCGGAAGGUUAAUUGAUGGGGUUAGCGCAAGCGAAGCUCUUGAUCGAAGCCCCGGUAAACGGCGGCCGUAACUAUAACGGUCCUAAGGUAGCGAAAUUCCUUGUCGGGUAAGUUCCGACCUGCACGAAUGGCGUAAUGAUGGCCAGGCUGUCUCCACCCGAGACUCAGUGAAAUUGAACUCGCUGUGAAGAUGCAGUGUACCCGCGGCAAGACGGAAAGACCCCGUGAACCUUUACUAUAGCUUGACACUGAACAUUGAGCCUUGAUGUGUAGGAUAGGUGGGAGGCUUGGAAGUGUGGACGCCAGUCUGCAUGGAGCCGACCUUGAAAUACCACCCUUUAAUGUUUGAUGUUCUAACGUUGACCCGUAAUCCGGGUUGCGGACAGUGUCUGGUGGGUAGUUUGACUGGGGCGGUCUCCUCCUAAAGAGUAACGGAGGAGCACGAAGGUUGGCUAAUCCUGGUCGGACAUCAGGAGGUUAGUGCAAUGGCAUAAGCCAGCUUGACUGCGAGCGUGACGGCGCGAGCAGGUGCGAAAGCAGGUCAUAGUGAUCCGGUGGUUCUGAAUGGAAGGGCCAUCGCUCAACGGAU